This 253-nucleotide ribosomal RNA is filed under the name uncultured bacterium. RNAcentral's name for it is "partial 16S ribosomal RNA". It matches the Rfam family "Bacterial small subunit ribosomal RNA", at positions 524 to 776 of the family's 1533-position model. The record is from RNAcentral.
UACGAGGGGGGCGAGCGUUGUUCGGAAUUAUUGGGCGUAAAGGGUGCGUAGGCGGUUCCGCAAGUCCUGUGUGAAAUCUUCGGGCUCAACUCGAAGUCUGCACGGGAAACUGCGGGGCUUGAGUGUGGGAGAGGUGAGUGGAAUUUCCGGUGUAGCGGUGAAAUGCGUAGAUAUCGGAAGGAACACCUGUGGCGAAAGCGGCUCACUGGACCAUUACUGACGCUGAUGCACGAAAGCUAGGGGAGCAAACAGG